This 2919-nucleotide ribosomal RNA is filed under the name Clostridium thermosuccinogenes. Its description in RNAcentral is "bacterial LSU rRNA". It matches the Rfam family "Bacterial large subunit ribosomal RNA". The record is from RNAcentral. Lineage: Bacteria; Bacillati; Bacillota; Clostridia; Eubacteriales; Clostridiaceae.
AGGUCAAGCUAUUAAGAGCAUAGGGUGAAUGCCUUGGCACCAGAAGCCGAUGAAGGACGUGAUAAGCUGCGAAAAGCUGCGGAGAGGCGCAAAUAGCCAUUGACCCGCAGAUGUCCGAAUGGGGGAACCCACCUGGGGUAAAUGCCCAGGUACAUGUAUGUGAAUACAUAGCAUACAUGGGGGAGACGUAGGGAACUGAAACAUCUAAGUACCUACAGGAAAAGAAAACAAAAGUGAUUCCGUAAGUAGUGGCGAGCGAAAGCGGAUUAGCCCAAACCGGGGUACAGCAAUGUAGCCCGGGGUUGAGGACCGGCGGAAUGAUUCGGAGUAUCUAGCAGAAUGAGGCACUGGAACGUGCAGACCAUAGAGGGUAAAAGUCCCGUAUGCGAAAGAUAUGAAGACAGGCCGGGAUCCAGAGUACCACAAGGCACGUGAAACCUGGUGGGAAGCAGGGAGGACCACCUUCCAAGGCUAAAUACUAACUGGUGACCGAUAGUGGAGCAGUACCGUGAGGGAAAGGUGAAAAGAACCCCGGGAGGGGAGUGAAAGAGAACCUGAAACCCUAUGUUUACAAGCAGUUGGAGAGCGUUAAGGCUCGACAGCGUACUUUUUGUAGAACGGUCCGGCGAGUUAUAGUAUGUGGCAAGGUUAAGUACUAGAGGUACGGAGCCGAAGGGAAACCGAGUCUUAACAGGGCGACAAAGUCACAUGCCAUAGACCCGAAACCGGGUGACCUAUCCAUGGACAGGUUGAAGCGGGAGUAAAAUCCCGUGGAGGACCGAACCACGUGACCGUUGAAAAGGUCUGGGAUGAGCUGUGGAUAGCGGAGAAAUUCCAAUCGAACUCGGAGAUAGCUGGUUCUCCCCGAAAUAGCUUUAGGGCUAGCCUCUAAUGAAAGUCUAGCGGAGGUAAAGCACUGAAUGGGCUAGGGGCCUUACCAGGUUACCGAACCCUAUCAAACUCAGAAUGCCGUAUAGACGAUGUUAGGGAGUCAGACUACGGGAGAUAAGUUUCGUAGUCAAAAGGGAAACAGCCCAGACCAUCAGCUAAGGUCCCAAAAUCACAGUUAAGUGGAAAAGGAUGUGGGUUUGCUAAGACAACUAGGAUGUUGGCUUAGAAGCAGCCAUUCAUUCAAAGAGUGCGUAAUAGCUCACUAGUCGAGUGAGCCUGCGCCGAAAAUUACCGGGGCUAAACUGUGUACCGAAGCUAUGGACUCAGAAAUGGGUGGUAGGGGAGCUUACUGUCGUAGGCCGAAGCACGAUCGUGAGGACGUGUGGACGAAACAGUAGUGAGAAUGCCGGAAUAAGUAGCGAGAGUAAAGUGAGAAUCUUUACCGUCGAAAACCUAAGGUUUCCUGGGGAAGGCUCGUCCGCCCAGGGUAAGUCGGGACCUAAGCCGAGGCCGAAAGGCGUAGGCGAUGGACAACAGGUUGAAAUUCCUGUACUACCGUCUCUUGUUUGAGAGAGGUGGGGACGCAGGAGGAUAGGCUAAGCGAGUAACUGGAAAAGCUCGUCCAAGGGAGGUAGAUAGUCCGGUAGGCAAAUCCGCCGGACGUUUCGAAGGCCUGAUGGGGAGGGAAAAUAAAGUACCGAAGUAGCCGAUUCCACACUGACGAGAAAAGCCACUAUCGAGAGAGAAGGUACCCGUACCGCAAACCGACACAGGUAGGUGAGGAGAGAAUCCUAAGACGAGCGGGAGAAGCGUUGUUAAGGAACUCGGCAAAUUGACCCCGUAAGUUCGCGAGAAGGGGUGCCUGUAGGAAUACAGGCCGCAGUGAAAAGGCCCAAGCAACUGUUUAUCAAAAACACAGGUCUCUGCUAAAUCGAAAGAUGACGUAUAGGGGCUGACGCCUGCCCGGUGCUGGAAGGUUACGGGGAAUGCUUAGCGCAAGCGAAGGCAUGAACUUAAGCCCCAGUAAACGGCGGCCGUAACUAUAACGGUCCUAAGGUAGCGAAAUUCCUUGUCAGGUAAGUUCUGACCCGCACGAAUGGCGUAAUGAUUUGGGCACUGUCUCGACAACGCACCCGGUGAAAUUGUAGUACUUGUGAAGAUGCAAGUUACCCGCGACUAGACGGAAAGACCCCAUGGAGCUUUACUGUAGCCUGAUACUGGGUUUCGGUAUUCUUUGUAUAGGAUAGGUGGGAGGCAGAGAAGUAGCGGCGCCAGCCGCUAUGGAGCCGACGUUGGAAUACCACUCUAAGAGUACUGGAACUCUAACCAGAGUCCAUAAGCUGGACUUGGGACACUGUCAGGUGGGCAGUUUGACUGGGGCGGUCGCCUCCCAAAAGGUAACGGAGGCGUCCAAAGGUUACCUCAGCGCGGUUGGAAACCGCGCAACGAGUGCAAAGGCAUAAGGUAGCCUGACUGUGAGAGAGACACCUCGAGCAGGUACGAAAGUAGGGCUUAGUGAUCCGGUGGUAUGAAAGUGGAAUUGCCAUCGCUCAACGGAUAAAAGCUACCCUGGGGAUAACAGGCUUAUCUCCCCCAAGAGUCCACAUCGACGGGGAGGUUUGGCACCUCGAUGUCGGCUCAUCGCAUCCUGGAGCUGUAGCAGGUUCCAAGGGUUUGGCUGUUCGCCAAUUAAAGCGGUACGCGAGCUGGGUUCAGAACGUCGUGAGACAGUUCGGUCCCUAUCUGUCGCGGGCGCAGGAUAUUUGAGGGGAUCUGUCCUUAGUACGAGAGGACCGGGAUGGACGAACCUCUGGUGCACCAGUUGCAUUGCCAAGUGCAGAGCUGGGUAGCCAAGUUCGGCAGGGAUAAACGCUGAAGGCAUCUAAGCGUGAAACCCACCCCAAGAUGAGAUAUCCCAUUCGAAAGAAGUAAGACCCCAUGAAGACUACAUGGUAGAUAGGCCGGAUGUGGAAGUGCAGUAAUGUACGAAGCUGACCGGUACUAAUAGGUCGAGGGCUUGACCAAGAA